This 816-nucleotide long non-coding RNA is filed under the name Musa acuminata (dwarf banana). Its description in RNAcentral is "long non-coding RNA (MACU_LNC010378)". Lineage: Eukaryota; Viridiplantae; Streptophyta; Magnoliopsida; Zingiberales; Musaceae. The record is from RNAcentral.
CUAGCUAGAGUCCUAACAUUUUUACAUGAAUGUCCCUCUCAAUUAGGACUCUCCUAGCUAGAGUCCUAACAUUUUUACAUGAAUGUCCCUCUCAAUUAGGACUCUCCUAGCUAGAGUCCUAACACAUAGCCUUUGUCUAUGCUAGUGAGCUAAGAGAAUUGAGAUGGAUCACCGGUCAUAUGCCUUAAGCAUUCACUAUCAAGGUAACAUUUCUUGCUCGUAGCUUGUGAUUGUAAAUGUUUCUACAAUAAAGGAUGAUUUUUAGGUACCCAUUUAAUUUUGGGUGCCUCAAAAAUUGAUCUAAAUUAUUUAUCAUGUUGCAUGGAAUUUAUCAUAGUUUCUUUAGGAAACCAAAUUAAUUUGUUCAGACUUAAGUUCUAUGUCCAUAUUUGCAAUAAAAGUUGCAUUUGCCUUAAUGUGAAAAUGCAAGAUAUGGCCUUUAAUGAAGGUACUUAGAUUUUGGUGAGGACUUCUCACAAAUCCAAUUCUACUUCUUUUAGGUGUUAGGAUCGGAGCGGCACUAAGAGAGGGGGGUGAAUUAGUGCAGCGGUAAAGUACGAUAAACUUUUGACGAUUUAAAUACUUUCAGAAACUUCGUACGAUAAAAGCAGCGUUUCGUUUGAAACCGUUUCUAUUGCAUUUUAACUUGAAGGGAUACGUAAGAAGGAGACAAAGAAGUAGAGCAUCAAAGUGAAGAUGGUUUGCAGUAAUAUAAAUGACAAUAAGUUAAACGCAAACCGAUUUAUAGUGGUUUGGUCAUGCGACCUACAUCCACUUGCGAAGCCUUCUUCGAUGAGGCUCCCAACUUCCACUAGC